GAUUUCCCCCGAGUCCUAACGCCCGUCUUUUCCUUGCCUCAGCUCCCUCACACCCUAGCGCGCACUCGCUCUUUCCCGGCUCGAGCCGGCAGAGCGGCCACAGCCUGCUGAGCGCAGACCCCAGGAAAAGGGCUCCGGGCUUGGGAAGGGGCUCAACUCGCCUGUGUUCCACGCGCUCUCUUAGAGGCUUACCCUGGAGAGGCUGCGCUGGAGCCUCCACUCCUGCCCAACCCCAGCCGUCUGUCUGCCAGUACAGCCCGCUUGGCAGGUGGCUGAGGACACGGCCCAGGCAACUGUGCAGAAUCGAUGGGUACCUUCUGGGCAUAUCCAAUUACUGCAGAUCCUCAGGCACGAAAAAUGUGAUGCACUAACCUACUAUAACACAAGGCCAUGUGAAUUAGUUCCCAAAGCUUGAAGAGGGUCAAAAACAGGAUGUCCCAAUUAAAUUGCUAAGAAUUGUACAAAGAUUUUGGGGACACUCCAUAUGACCAAAAGAAUUCCAGGCCAUCAGAAUCAGAAGCGAUAUGAGAGAUCUUGGAAUCAAACUCUCUCAUUUGGCAGGUGGAGAAACUGAAGCAAGAAGCAACUUCUUCAAGUUCACACAACUGGGCAGAACUUCUCCAGUCCCAGUCUUCACAUGGUAUAUUCUGCAGUCCUGUCCCACACAUAUAUGAUCUUUUCUGGAUGAUUUCUGACAUAUCAAUGUCCUGGCUCCCAGAAUUGAACACAUCACUCCAGCUGUGUCCUAUCCAAGGCAGACUACAGUGGGACUACUGUUUCCAUCAUUCUGCUCUUCUCUUAAAUGCCAACUUAAAGAACAUUAGCUUUUUUGGUUGCCAUCUCACACUAUUAAUUCACUGAACUUAUAGUCCAUUCAAAACUCUAGAUCUUUUUUAUUCAAACUGUGUAUACUUUUUGACCCAGUAAUAUCACUAUUAGGUUUAUUUCCUAAGACAAACAAGGAAAAAGGAAAAGAAACUGUAUGUUUUAAAAUAUUUAUAGCAGCUUCUUUUGUGGUGACAAAAAACUGAAAAUCGAAAGGAUGUCCAUCAGUUGGGGAAUAACUGAGCUAGUUGUAGUAUAUGCUUGUAAUAGAAUUCUAUUCUUCAAUAAGAAAUGACAAACCAGAUGUUCACCAAAAAUAUCUGGAAAGGAUUAUAUGAGGUGAAAUAAAAUGGAAUGAGCAGAACCAGCAGAAACCUCACACACAGUAACAAGAAUAAAGUAUGAUGGUCAUCUGUAAAUGACUUAACUAUUAUCAACCAGGCAAUCAUCCAGUCCAUCUCCAAGGGACUCAUGAUGAGAAAGGAUAUUUACCAUCAUAGACGGAAAAGACAGAGUCCAAAUGCAGAUUGAAACAUACCAUUCUUCACAUUAUUUCUUCCGUGAAUUUUUCUCUAGUGGAGGCAACAUGUGUCUUAUUUUACAACAUGAUGAACAGGGAAAUAUGUAUUAUAUGGUAAUAUGUAUACAACUUAUAUCAUAUUACCUGCCUUCUUGGAGAGGGAAGAAAGAGGGGAAGAAAAGAGGUGGGAAAAAUGAGACAAAUAUUUUUGAACGUAGCUAAUGUGAGAAUUUGUUUCUCUUGGAUAACCAUAUUUAUUAUAACUUGUUACAUAUUUUAACAAAUAAAUUAUAUCAUAUUGUUAUGUUACAUAUUAUAUUGUUAAAUAAAAGAAUUUAAGCCCA
Long non-coding RNA from Monodelphis domestica (gray short-tailed opossum), 1689 nucleotides. RefSeq lists it as uncharacterized. NCBI's taxonomy places the organism in Eukaryota, Metazoa, Chordata, Mammalia, Didelphimorphia, Didelphidae. The record is from RefSeq and is a predicted model, not a curated record.